CCUACGGGUGGCUGCAGUGAGGAAUAUUGGUCAAUGGACGCAAGUCUGAACCAGCCAUGCCGCGUGCAGGAUGACGGCUCUAUGAGUUGUAAACUGCUUUUGUACGAGGGUAAACCCCGAUACGUGUAUCGGGUUGAAAGUAUCGUACGAAUAAGGAUCGGCUAACUCCGUGCCAGCAGCCGCGGUAAUACGGAGGAUCCGAGCGUUAUCCGGAUUUAUUGGGUUUAAAGGGUGCGUAGGCGGUUUGAUAAGUUAGAGGUGAAAUGUCGGGGCUCAACCCCGAAACUGCCUCUAAUACUGUUGGACUAGAGAAUAGUUGCGGUAGGCGGAAUGUAUGGUGUAGCGGUGAAAUGCUUAGAUAUCACACAGAACACCGAUUGCGAAGGCAUCUCACGAAUCCGCGAUUGACGCUGAUGCACGAAAGCGUGGGUAUCAAACAGGAUUAGAUACCCCAGUAGUC
RNAcentral lists this ribosomal RNA (460 nucleotides) under uncultured bacterium. RNAcentral's name for it is "partial 16S ribosomal RNA". It matches the Rfam family "Bacterial small subunit ribosomal RNA", at positions 338 to 795 of the family's 1533-position model. The record is from RNAcentral.